This 967-nucleotide ribosomal RNA is filed under the name Neotrops labarquei. RNAcentral's name for it is "eukaryotic LSU rRNA". It matches the Rfam family "Eukaryotic large subunit ribosomal RNA", at positions 128 to 862 of the family's 3401-position model. The record is from RNAcentral. Lineage: Eukaryota; Metazoa; Arthropoda; Arachnida; Araneae; Oonopidae.
ACGAACGUUUGAAAAAUGUGGCGUUUAGGAGGUCGCGUGCCGAGGUCAGACUCUGCAGCAAGUCCCCCUGACCGGGGCUGUUACCCAGAGUGGGUGCGAGGCCCAUAGUUGCUAAGUCUGCCUUGGAUGUGACCUCUUGGGAGUCGGGUUGCUUGGGAGUGCAACUCUAAUUGGGUGGUAAACUCCACCUAAGACUAAAUACGGCCGUGAGACCGAUAGCAAACAAGUACCGUGAGGGAAAGUUGCAAAGAACUUUGAAGAGAGAGUUCAAGAGUACGUGAAACUGCUCAGAGGCAAACGGAUGGGCCCUCGAAAUCCUCUGGCAGGGGGAUUCAGUUAGGAAAGGCUCAGGUGGUGUGUGGCUUAAGCGGACCCUGUCUGGGGCCGAGUCAUCGCCAUGGUCUGAUCCUUACCUGACGCAUUUCUUCCUGCACUAAGGACGCCGCAUCCACUUGGGUAGCUGCGUGAGUCGGCCAUGAGGACAAGCACUGGAAGGUGGCCAGUGGCAUUGCUCCGUGCCGCUGGUUGUUAGCCGGUUUGUCCGUGGAACGACACCCGAGUGAGGUUGAAUUGUUCCCGCAUGGGAACUAGCCGUCCCCUUCGGAGUGGACGCUGGCAGGUGUUUCGCAGUGUUGCUUGUUCACUCUUGUAGUGUCUGGCACUCUGUGUUCUCAGGUGGGGUGCAAUGGCUAGCGGCGAGUGAGUCGGUCACCCAUCCGACCCGUCUUGAAACACGGACCAAGGAGUCUAACAUGUGCGCGAGUCACGGGGUCUUGAUUAGGCCCAGAGGCGCAAUGAAAGUGACAGUAGGCCCUCGUUUGGUCGCGUUGGGAUCUCCUGUCCUUUGUGGCAAGAGAGCACCAACGAUCCGUCCUAUCCGAUUUAUCGGUUGGCCGGAAUUGGAGCGUACACGUUGGGACCCGAAAGAUGGUGAACUAUGCCUGGGCAGGACGAAGCCAGAGGAAAC